GCUUGUCUCAAAGAUUAAGCCAUGCAUGUCUUAGUGUAAAUAACUCUUAUGAAACUGCGAAUGGCUCAUUAAAUCAGUUAUCGUUUAUUUGAUGGUCCCUUACUACAUGGAUAACCGUAGUAAUUCUAGAGCUAAUACAUGCACAAAGGCCCGACUCACGAAGGGCUGUAUUUAUUAGAUUUAAAGCCGACAUCUUUUGGUGAUUCAUAAUAACUGAUCGAAUCGCAAGGCCUUUGGCCGCGAUAAGUCAUUCAAGUUUCUGCCCCAUCAGCUUUCGAUGGUAGUGUAUUGGACUACCAUGGCGUUCACGGGUAACGGAGAAUUAGGGUUCGAUUCCGGAGAGGGAGCCUGAGAAACGGCUACCACAUCUAAGGAAGGCAGCAGG
This 385-nucleotide ribosomal RNA is filed under the name uncultured Cryptomonadales. RNAcentral describes it as "partial small subunit ribosomal RNA". It matches the Rfam family "Eukaryotic small subunit ribosomal RNA", at positions 30 to 432 of the family's 1831-position model. The record is from RNAcentral. Lineage: Eukaryota; Cryptophyceae; Cryptomonadales.